RNAcentral lists this ribosomal RNA (556 nucleotides) under Mycobacteroides abscessus. RNAcentral's name for it is "bacterial SSU rRNA". It matches the Rfam family "Bacterial small subunit ribosomal RNA", at positions 31 to 606 of the family's 1533-position model. The record is from RNAcentral. Lineage: Bacteria; Bacillati; Actinomycetota; Actinomycetes; Mycobacteriales; Mycobacteriaceae.
UUGCACUGCGGCGUGCUUACACAUGCAAGUCGAACGGAAAGGCCCUUCGGGGUACUCGAGUGGCGAACGGGUGAGUAACACGUGGGUGAUCUGCCCUGCACUCUGGGAUAAGCCUGGGAAACUGGGUCUAAUACCGGAUAGGACCACACACUUCAUGGUGAGUGGUGCAAAGCUUUUGCGGUGUGGGAUGAGCCCGCGGCCUAUCAGCUUGUUGGUGGGGUAAUGGCCCACCAAGGCGACGACGGGUAGCCGGCCUGAGAGGGUGACCGGCCACACUGGGACUGAGAUACGGCCCAAACUCCUACGGGAGGCAGCAGUGGGGAAUAUUGCACAAUGGGCGCAAGCCUGAUGCAGCGACCCCGCGUGAGGGAUGACGGCCUUCGGGUUGUAAACCUUUUUCAAUGAGGUCGAAGCGAAAGUGACGGUACCUACAGAAGAAGGACCGGCCAACUACGUGCCCGCAGCCGCGGUAAUACGUAGGGUCCGAGCGUUGUCCGGAAUUACUGGGCGUAAAGAGCUCGUAGGUGGUUUGUCGCGUUGUUCGCGAAAACUCACA